This 483-nucleotide ribosomal RNA is filed under the name uncultured bacterium. RNAcentral's name for it is "partial 16S ribosomal RNA". It matches the Rfam family "Bacterial small subunit ribosomal RNA", at positions 30 to 507 of the family's 1533-position model. The record is from RNAcentral.
AUUGAACGCUGGCGGCAGGCCUAACACAUGCAAGUCGAGCGGAUGAAGGGAGCUUGCUCCUGGAUUCAGCGGCGGACGGGUGAGUAAUGCCUAGGAAUCUGCCUGGUAGUGGGGGAUAACGUCCGGAAACGGGCGCUAAUACCGCAUACGUCCUGAGGGAGAAAGUGGGGGAUCUUCGGACCUCACGCUAUCAGAUGAGCCUAGGUCGGAUUAGCUAGUUGGUGGGGUAAAGGCCUACCAAGGCGACGAUCCGUAACUGGUCUGAGAGGAGGAUCAGUCACACUGGAACUGAGACACGGUCCAGACUCCUACGGGAGGCAGCAGUGGGGAAUAUUGGACGAUGGGCGAAAGCCUGAUCCAGCCAUGCCGCGUGUGUGAAGAAGGUCUUCGGAUUGUAAAGCACUUAAGUUGGGAGGAAGGGCAGUAAGUUAAUACCUUGCUGUUUUGACGUUACCAACAGAAUAAGCACCGGCUAACUUCGUG